CAAUAGCGUAUAUUAAAGUUGUUGCAGUUAAAAAGCUCGUAGUUGGAUUUCUGGUGGGAGCGAUCGGUCUGGCGCUUAGCGCGAGUACUUGCAUCGUCUCCGGCCAUCCUUGGGGAGCGUCUGUCUGGCAUUAGGUUGUCGGGCAGAGGAUCCUCAUCGUUUACUGUGAAAAAAUUAGAGUGUUCAAAGCAGGCUUAUGCCGUUGAAUAUAUUAGCAUGGAAUAAUAAGAUAGGACUUUGGUACUAUUUUGUUGGUUUGCGCACCAAAGUAAUGAUUAAUAGGGACAGUUGGGGGUAUUCGUAUUCCGUUGUCAGAGGUGAAAUUCUUGGAUUUACGGAAGACGAACUACUGCGAAAGCAUUUACCAAGGAUGUUUUCAUUAA
This 383-nucleotide ribosomal RNA is filed under the name uncultured eukaryote. Its description in RNAcentral is "partial 18S ribosomal RNA". It matches the Rfam family "Eukaryotic small subunit ribosomal RNA", at positions 592 to 976 of the family's 1831-position model. The record is from RNAcentral.